Long non-coding RNA from Gekko japonicus, 124 nucleotides. RefSeq lists it as uncharacterized. The record is from RefSeq and is a predicted model, not a curated record. NCBI's taxonomy places the organism in Eukaryota, Metazoa, Chordata, Lepidosauria, Squamata, Gekkonidae. The transcript is spliced from 3 exons.
CCAAAAGGUGACCCUGGAGCAGUGGGUGAACCAGGUCCAAUGGGACUACCAGGACUGGAGGGACUUCCAGGAGAGAAGGGAGAUCGUGGCCCAUCAGGUCCUCCAGGAAUACCAGGAAUACCCG